GCGGAGCCGCGGCGCCCCGGAGCGCCUGCUGGCGGACGGCCGCCGCCCACUCGGUCCUCCCCUCUCAGGAAGGGGGCGCCGCUCGGCCGCGCGGGCCGGGCCAGCGUCCCCGCCACCCGCCCGCCGCCCGCCGCCCGCCGCCCGCCGCCCGCGUGACUGAGCCGAGCGCCGCGGGGGCGGGGUGCAGCGGCGCCGCGGGAGGAGCUGGGCGAGGAGCGGCCCCUUCCCUGCGCGGCGCGCGGCCGGGUUACAGCCACACUCAGGAGCCUCUUGGGAAAAGCUCAAAAGUCCCCAUUUUGCGGAAAGCCUGCUAGGAUGUGGUGGGACCCCGCGGUGAGAGAAACCCCCAGAGGCCUCGAAAGCCCCGGUGCCAGAGCCCAACCCGGCCUCGGCCUGGCCUCGAGCGAGGUCUCCCGCGCUCCGGGCCUGCACUUCCGGUCCCCGUCCCCGCGGGUUCCCUGACCCGCCGCUCCCGGGCACUUCCGCCGCCCACCACGUGGCCGGGGCCUGGAGGAGGCUGCCCGGAAGGCCUGGCUCUAGCGCUUGGGGCCUUCGCCUGUUCCCGUCGCUUCUCUUUAUUACGGAUUUCCUGUCAUUUCGUCGGUCGCUAGCCCCUGUGGGAAGUGGUGCGGAGGAGGGCCAGAGGGCCUUCACCAGUUUCUGUACUCAGGAGGCAGGGCAUGCAACAAAUGUCGAAAGAAUUACUGAAUGA
RNAcentral lists this long non-coding RNA (712 nucleotides) under Canis lupus familiaris (dog). RNAcentral describes it as "lncRNA (ENSCAFG00845009249.1)". Lineage: Eukaryota; Metazoa; Chordata; Mammalia; Carnivora; Canidae. The record is from RNAcentral.